This is a long non-coding RNA of Monodelphis domestica (gray short-tailed opossum), 3414 nucleotides long. RefSeq lists it as uncharacterized. Lineage: Eukaryota; Metazoa; Chordata; Mammalia; Didelphimorphia; Didelphidae. The record is from RefSeq and is a predicted model, not a curated record.
AUGUCACUUUCUAACUCUCUGAGACCCAAUGAGGCUUUCAUUUGGGGUCGAGGUCUUGUUUAUAUGUUCACAGAUAAUAAAAACAUCUGGUCACCCACGUCAUGCUUCAUGCCAGCUGAUACAGACCAGGAAGAGAAGCAGACGGAAGGUGAUGGCAUCAGCUAUCUACAUGCCAGCCACAAUCCAGACUCGCUGGAAGGACACUUCUUUGGUGACUAAUAUCACUCUAGAACAAUGACAUUACACUAUUAGAGACAUUGGCUAUUAGACCACUGAUGGACACUUGUCAUGCUGACAUCCAUUGAGAUGGGGUACCCAGAGCAACAUCAAGUAUGCUAAUUCAGAAGGACUAAAUCACACUUGUGUCUGUACAAGACACCAAAUAUGUCCCACACUCCAAAGACUUUGCUAUGGGAUUGAGAUGAACUAGCUACAAAUUGUCUAGCUACUAAUGUAUACCCUGUAUUUUGUAUAUGAUACUGUCAAAAGAAAUGUAUAUUGUAUGCAUUGUAAAGCUACCACUUGUAUUGUAAGAAAUGCUGUUACCCACAAGGGUAUAGACCUUGGUAUGACUCUCCAAAGAGUAGGAGAUAGAAAACUUUCAUUCAUAGCAUAGAUCUGAUACCUCUGACAACAAAAAUGAGGUGCUAAGCAGAAAAUGAUGCACAGACAGUUUAAUGGACAGAUGACACUGAUGUUACUCUCAAGAAAGGAUGAGAGAUCAGGGAAAAGACACUAGGAAAUCUUUAAUCAGGAACCUGAGUUAUUGUAAGAAAUCAUUGACAUCAGGCAAAGAUUAUGUUCCUGACAAUACAUUAAGGGCUGACUACCAGAGAUGUAGUUAAGUGUUAAUACCAUCGUUAACCAUUACUCCUGAUACCCUGUCUUUGUGGGUGAUAUCUUGAUAGGACAAAUGUCUUGCUCUCCUCCAACAAUCCCAGAAUUCAGACGGCCGCUGGACUCGGGAUCUAUUGGCUUCCCUUUCAUAUACUGGAAGACGUUCUGGUAUAUGGAAGUAAGACCUCAAGAAACACUGAGGACUCUAGGUUUGACAAUUUCUGUGGAUGCGCAGUCAUUGUCUCUCCUAGGUGGAAAAAAAUUAUUAUUGCACAAAAACAUGGAGCAAGGGCAAAGUAUAAUCUAAGUUUUACUGUUUUGGAGUAUGGAUUGAAAACAUGACACAAUAGGCACAGAUACGCUUGUAGAAAAAGCACAUUGAAUAUUAUUCACUGACAACUAGGAAUGAAAAAGCUAUGUCAAAUUCUAUAGGUACAAGAAACUGUAGAAAUUGUUUCUACAUGGAAAACAACUUAAGCUUCUAUUUACCCAAACAUUGGUUUGGUGGAAGAAAUGUUGCAAAUAUUGGUAAUGGUAUAGGCUUGGUUAUCAUAUUGAUGGGUUUAUUUAUACAAGCAGAGAUUUAAAUAAGGAUGACAUAAGGAAUAUGAACUCAAAACUUGAAAUGUCACUUCAUUAUCACCAUCAUGUUUUUUUAAGCUACAAAUCAGAAUGUAAAGUAUAUGGGAAUAUUGGUAUUUGUUAAAAAUUGCACUGCAAUUGAUGUAUUAAUGUUUUUGCAAAGCCUGUAAUGGUGCAAAAUUAUGUUCAUAUACAAGGCGAAUUUAGAUCAGGAAUUAGGAAUCAUUGGGAAUAUAAGUUCUGAUAUUUUACAUUGGCUCAGUUUCAAAGAUACCACAUAGACAGUGAGCCAAAAGUCUAGAAUCUUGUAUUAAUUUUGGGAUCAGGUUCCCAGGAUCAAUUUUCUGAGAUCAUUUGACAUGUGAUAACAUGAUCCUCCAGAAUUGUUCAGAGAGGAUGUUUUUCUUUGAAAGGAUCUCUCCCUACCCACAAACAAAAAGAAAAGGGAGAGGAAUCUCAUAGAGAUCAGUAUGUUCAUUUUAGAGAACACUUUUGAUUCAUUUUCAAGUAUUCAACUUUGAUUUUUCUGUUGCACAAUUAUUGCCAGAAUUUUUAAGUACAAGGAAAGUACUGUUAAUGCUCUGAUCCAGAAUUAUGAAGGUGCAAAGAUUUCUAUAAUUGCAGUCACCCAACAGUCGGUGAACAUGAGAACAUGACAGCAAUUGUUAAUUUUCAGAUGACCAUUCUGGAGAGUGAUGUCUGAUUGCAUGUAAGGGGAAUCAUAAUGAAUCUUUCAUUAUGGACCAGACAGCCUCAGCCACGAUUAUACACUUUCCAUAUGAAAUGGAUGUUUGAGGUUGGAAAAUGCAGAGACAUGGCGUACUGACACCCUCAGUCGCUGAAUGUCCUGGCAUCGAGCUACCAACCAGUUUCCUAUGUGGCAGGCAUCUGGCAGUGAGCACGGAAAGAUCCCCAAGAUGCAGUAUCAGUACGAGAGAAAGGAAGGACUUAUCCUUCAUCUCCAGAGAUAGUAUUUUGCUAACUGUUGAAAAGACGGACAACUUCUGCAUAGAGUGUCCAUCUCUUCUUUUGUUACUCUUCAUUUUUCGUUACCCCAAACAGGAUGUCACAGGACUGGCCGACCCUGUGAUUGAGUCUUGUACUGCCCGGACAGGGACUUUCAUUCGUAACCCUGAUUCCUUUGCUGGUCUUAGGAUGACGAAGAGUUAACAGCUUUUGCCCCAAGACUGCAGCUCGGAUGGGCAGAAGAAUCGAACAGAGAGAGUGCAGUAUUUGUGGGCCUCCUCUGUUCCCCAACUUUAUUAUUGCACCUGUCAUGUGAACCAUAGAAUUCUACCUCAUUAGACCAGGAUCAGUAGCGUGGAAAUUAUUUUCUUAACAUUUUUAUAUCUACUAAGACUGUUGCAUAGAUCCUGAAAUGCAGACAGAUAGAAAGAUCAGUUUGGGAUUUUUAAGAUUGAUCACUGAAUCAGUUUAUGCUGAUGUUCACUCUUGAUUGGUAUAUCUAAGUUAUACAAUCAGGGUGGGUUUUUCAUCUCUGUAUCAGAAUAUGAUUAUGCACCAGAGUGUUUGUAUUUGUUAAUGCUGUAAUGUUGUUACAUUUUGAUAUUACACUAUUCAUUUGUGUGUAAAACAAAAAGGGGGAAUUGUAGCAGUCAGAUUGCCUUAAAAGAGAACAUGCUCAGUCUUGAGCAUGCGCAGUAUUGCUCAUGGCUGGGAAGGCCUCUGACCCUUGACCCCAGCUUCUCCCAGGUUAGGCGGGAAAACAAGUUUCUUUGUUCUCGCCUGGUUAAGAGAAACCACACCUAUGCCUUGUCAUUGACCAAUGAGGGUCAUCCCUAUGUACUACGUAGCAAAUGGUAUUUAUGGCCCAGCAAGCUCCACCUCGCGCUCUCUCUCCUCUCUCUCCUUUUCAGGCUAGCUGAUGGCUGUCCUUGCAGGAGCUUGGCCUCUGGCCAAGCUCCAUCUUUAAUCUUUCUCUAUUCAUCUCUCUGACCUGUGUGGUAUUAAUAAAGACUCAUUCUGACCACCUCA